Molecule: RNA transcript, 15947 nt
Organism: Callithrix jacchus (white-tufted-ear marmoset)
Lineage: Eukaryota; Metazoa; Chordata; Mammalia; Primates; Cebidae
Gene name: actin, cytoplasmic 1 pseudogene
Source: RefSeq, a predicted model, not a curated record
GGUAGGGGUUGGGAGGGUCCAUAAAACUGUUGAAGCCAUCCAAGUGUGAAAUGGGAAGAUGAAGAAAGUGUUUUCCCAAAGCCAUUUAUAUCUGUCAUCUGUUCUGGGUCUCACUAGUAAUGUGUCUCCUGUUCAGUCCCUUCCUCCCACCUUUGCUACUUAGGGUUUGUCUUCCUCUGGGAAAACAUAUCUGGAGAGGCACAGUUGUAAAGAGAGUGACAUCUUUGUGUACAACAAAAACUUUUGUAGCCAAGUGUUCUGUUGACAUUGUACACUCUCUGAGGAAUUUACUGGCUUGGCAUUCAUUUGCAUGAACAUGUGAGUGGUUACCGAAUCACAUGAUUUGUCUUCUGAAAUGUGUGUGAGAGAGAACAUGUGUGCUACUGUUCUAUCCUGGCUGUGUUUGCUAUGAAAGAAAAUCAGAGCACUUUAUACCACUCUGAAAAGACACCGUUCAUUUUCUUCACCCUGAUCCUUGGUUCAGUUUCCAUUUUUCUCUAAAUUAUAGACAACAGAAACCUUAAUCUCACAGAUUCAUAUGAGUUCUCAAUCUGCACAGGUUAACUCUUGAGUGUUGAUUAGCCGUUUGUGUAUUUUGCAUUUGUCCUUACCGAGAGUUUUUCCUACUCAAGACUCGGAUGAGCUUCAGUGAAGAGGAAGGAGAGGUACAAACACUCUGUGCUCCUAUUAGUCAGACAGUGACUCAUAGGAUUUCCACUUAUUUUCUUUUGAUCCUUGCAGGACCAGUGUGAAUUGGGCAUCUUUAGUCUAUCUUAUGCAUAUAGAAAGUGAAUCCUGGACAUGAACUAAAGAGACUGCAAAUGGUCUCUUCCUAGUUUUUCUACUGACUCUUCUGCUAUACAAUGAUGCCUUGAUAGUCUGCUACUCCCUUGGGCUCCUCAAGCGUGAUCUGCCCAUAUUAAUGCUCAGGUAUCCCUUUGGAAGACAGUCGGUGGCCCAUGUCUUUGGAUGCACCUUCAGGAACUUCAGAUUUAACCCUCAACCUCCUCUCAGCUCAAGUAAUUAAAAGAUAAGACUAUAAAACAGCAAGAAUACAGCUUAAAUGAGUAAACCAGAAUAUAUACAUAGAACUGAUUAUUAUAGAUUCUUAUGUCAUUAUUCUAAUAAUAAUAUUGCUCAUAUGAAAAUUUUUCAGGGGAAUAGAAUUAUUUUAAGAAUCACAACGAAAACUUAUUAUUUUAAAAUCAUCCUUUAUUUUUAGAUCCAAAUAGUGUUACCCAAGUUGGCCACUCUCGGUUUUUUCACGACUUGAUUCAAAAUCACAUUUUUCUCAUUGUAAGAACAUUCUGGAUAUGAAAGUUCAGGAGUUCUGGGGUACAUAGCCUGGUUCAGCCAUUUACCAGUUGUGUAUUCUUGUACCUUUUGGUUAAUAUCUCUGAUUCCCAGUUUUCUCAGCUGUAAAGUGAAGAUAGUGAUAUAUAGGGUUCUAUGAAAAUUAAACUGUUGACCACCCAGACCACGUCCACUCUGCCAGCACAGAGCCUCACACUCACCACUCCACCACCUGUCGACACCCGCCACCAGCUCACCAUGGAUGAGGAUAUCGCCACACUCAUUGUGGACAACAGCUCCAGCAUGUGCAAGGCCGGGUUCAUGGGUGAUGAUGCCCCCAGGCAUCUUCCCCUCCAUCGUGGGGCACCCCAGGCACCAGGGCAUGAUGUUGGGCCUGAGUCAGAGGGACUCCUAUGUGGGUGACAAGGCCUGGAGUAAGAUAGGGAUCCUGAUUCUGAAAUACCCCAGUGAGCAUGGCAUCAUAACCAACUGGGAGGACAUGGAGAAGAUCUGAUACCACACCUUCUACCACAAGCUGCGUGUGGCUUCCGAGGAGCACCCUGUGCUGCUGACCAAGGCCCCCCUGAACCCCAAGGCCAACUUUGAGAAGAUGACCCAGAUCAUGUUUGAGACCUUCAACACACCAGCCAUGUACAUGGCCAUCCAGACUGUGCUGUCCCUGUGCACCUCUGGCCCUACCACUGGACCCUAGUAGAUGGACUCCAGUGAUAGGGUCACCCACACUGUGCCCAUCUAUGAGGGUUAUGCCCUCCCCCACACCAUUCUGCAUCUGGACAUCUGGCUGGAACCUGACUGAUUACCUCAUGAAGAGCCUCACCUAGCGUGGCUCCAGCUUUACCACCGUGGCUGAGUAGGAAAUCCUGUGUGACAUCAAGGAGAAGCUUUGCUACAUCACCCUGGACUUUGAGCAGGAAAUGGCCACAGAGGCCUCCAGCUCCUCCCUAGAGAAGAGCUAUGAUCUGCUGGAUGGCCAGAUCAUCACCACUGGCAAUGAGCAGUUCUGUUGCUCCAAGGCAUGCUUCCAGCCUUCCUUCCUGGGCAUGGAAUCCUGUGACAUCCAUGAAACUACCUUCAACUCUAUCAUUAAGUGUGACAUGGACAUAUGCAAAGACCUGUUUAUCAACACAGUGCUGUCUGGUUGCACCACCAUUUACCCUGGCAUCACCAACAGGGUGUAGAAGGAGAUCACCACCCUGGCGUGCAGCACGAUGAAGAUCAAGAUCAUUGCUCCUCCCAAGUGCAAGUGCUCCAUGUGGAUCGGCAGCUCCAUCCUGGCCUCACUGUCCAUCUUCCAGCAGAUGUGGAUAAGGAAGCAGGAGUGCAACGAGUCUGGCCCCUCCGUCAUCCACUACAAAGGCUUCUAAGUGGGCUGUGACUUAGCGGCAUUACACCCUUUCUUGACAAAACCUAACUUGCGCAGAAUACAAGAUGAGUUUGGCAUGGCUUUAUUUGUUUUUUGGUUUUGUUUUGUUUUGUUUUUUUGGCUUGACUCAGGAUUUUAAAAACUGAAAUGGUGAAGGUGACAGUAGUUAGUUGGAUGGAGCAUUCCCCAAAGUUCUACAAUGUGGCCAAGGACUUUGAUUGGAUAUUGUUCUUUUUUUAAUAGUCAUUCCAAAUAUCGUGAGAUACAUUGUUACAGGAAGUCCCUUACCCUCCCAAAAGCCACCCCACUUCUCUCUAAAGAGAAUGACCUAGUACUCUCCCGUGUCCAUACAGGGGAGGUAAUAGCAUUGCUUUCAUGUAAAUUAUGUAAUGCAAAAAUUUUUUAAUCUUUGCCUUAAUACUUUUUCAUUUUGUUUUAUUUUGAAAAUUUUAGCCUUUGUGGCUGCCCCAUUUUUGUCCCCCAACUUGAGAUGUAUGAAGGCUUUUGGUCUCCCUGGGAGUGGUAGAGGCAGCCAGCAGUUACCUGUACACUGACUUGAGAUCAGUUGAAUAGAAGUGCACACCAAAAAAAAGAAAAAGAAAAUGUUAAAUUAUGAUUUAAUAUCUAUUAAGCAUUUAGCAUAAUACCUACUAUAUUUAGGGGUUAAGUAAAGGCAUGAUAGUUUAUUUACUUUAAAAAUAUGAUUUUAAAAAAUCACUAAAAAUUCCAAAGACUGUCUACUAAAUUAUUUAAAUCAAUAUCAAAAGAGAAAUGUAAAAUGGUCUAAUUACUUUUAUAAUGAUAUAACACGAGCAUAUUAUAAAGGAUUAUGAUUUGGUUAGGGAGAUACGUGCCUUGUUAAAAAAUUCGGUUCUAUUAUUUAUAGCCAGUUAGGCUCACAAAGCAUAUGUUGGGUGGGUAAUAAAGAAUGGUGCACUGAAGUUAUGGUCUGUCAAUACAUUUAAAGUAAGAUUGACUAGGAAAUUUGAAACAUAUAUACAAAGAACAUGAGAAUGAAAAGUGUAUGUAAUUAUUAUUUACUAAUGCUUUUAUAAUCGGUGUAUCCAUUUUUAAAUGAAAAAUCCUUGAAGACAAGUAACAUUUAUUUCUAUGCUUGGUGUGUCUUGCAUAGAACACACUGUGGCUAUAUUUGAAUAAGACUUCUAUUCUGGCCACUCAUCUGAAUCAAUGUCUUUCUAUGGUUAUCUUUAAAGAUGUCUGGAUAUAUUAAUCCUUUCAACAACCACACUAGAUUAAUGGACAAGUAAUUAAUUAAUGUACACUCUUCUUGCCUAUAGUCAUAAGAAAUUAGGGUAAAUCUAACCUUUGCCCACAUAUUUCUUAGAAAAUGCAUGCUGCUUUAUGGAACCCCAAUAUAAAACACCUUAAAUUUGCAAGCAAAUCAAGGGCCAGUCUUUAUUUUCUUAAAGGAUGUCUAUGUGGUGUUUAGAAUGAAUGCUUCUAGGAAUAUGGUAGCAGUGUUGAAGUGAGAAAUGCUUGUGUUAUUAAACUGCAUCGUGAUAGCAGCCAGUGUUACACAUCUCUGUGGCACUAACUCCCAAUCUCACACACUGUAAUUUUAUUCACUCCUCUAUUAUGAAAGGAUAUAUUUUUAAAUCAAUGUAGUUGGCAUAUAUAGGUGUAUACUUGGUUUCUCAUAUGAAUUUAAUCUCUCUGAUUGGAGGGGCAAAAUAAACUAACAGAAAAAUGCCUUUCACAGACAAAGGCCAGUAAAGAGGACAUCUGUCCCUGCGGGCUUAGUUUCCCUGUCUGAAACCGUGCUAGUCUUUGGAGCUGUUGUGUGCAUUCUUAGAAAGUGCAGUAGUGAUGGGCGCUGAGAACUCACUCCUUACUCAACUUUGCCUACUUACAUGGAGCCAUCAUAAGGUUGUCAAGAGGAAUCAUACCGAUAAUCACUAGAAAAUAAAAUCCUUGAUUCUGGGUCAACCCAGGAACCAGGAGAAGGUGACAAUUGACUACGGUUGUGGUGUGCAUAGCUGUAUACCAGGACCACUAGAAACUUUAAAAUCACAUAUGUGACUCAUGUAUGGCCUGAAUUAUACUUAUUUUGGUCAGUACUAUUCAGAGUCAGACCAACUUAGAUUCAAAUACAGCUUGUGCGAUUUACUAGUGAAUUUAGACAAAAAUUCUUAAAAAUCAAGGCAUCAGUUUCCAACAUACCACAAAAAAGAAGGAUAAAUUCAUAUCUUGUAAGACAUUUGGAGAAUUGAGUUAAAAUAAAAUAUGAACCCAGCAGGUGCCUGGGAAAAAGACAACAUUCAAUAAAUGUUAGCUCCUUCUCACAUCCAUCCCCUUCAUACAUACAUAUAUGAAUAUGGAUAAGAAUAUAUAUAUUAUGUGUGUGUGUAUCUUAGUCUUUAAGGACAACCAGAAUACUGUUUUUAAAAACCCAGUUCUUGGCCGGGUGUGGUACCUCAGGUCUGUAAUCCGAGCACUUAGGGAGGCCAAGGCGGGUGGAUCACUUGAGGUCAGGAGUUCAAGACCAGCCUGACCAACAUGGUAAAACCCGUCUGUAUCAAAUGAUACAAAAAUUAGCUGGGCGUGGUGGUGUGCACCUGUAGUCCUAGAUACUCAGGAAGCUGAGGUGGGAGAAUCACUGAGCUCAGGAGGCAGAGGUUGCAGUGAGUGGAGAUCACGCCACUGCACUCUAGCCUGGGCAACAGAGUGAAACCCUGUAUCAAAAUAAAUAAUGAAAUAAAAUAAAAAUCCUGUUAUUUUAAAGAGCUCUUUUCAAAUACAGGCUGUCACUCAAUAGUCGUAUCAUCCACAGUAAUGUAUAUGUACAUACUAUUAAGGGGUAAAUAACACCUACUUCCCAGAGUUGUUCUAUGAAUUAGAAAUGAUCCUUGUAAAACACCUAGCAUAUUACCUAUCAUUGGUACUUAAUAUAUUGCAUAUACCAUCAUCAUUUAUGUCAUCAUUAACAAUCAUUAUCAUUAUCACUAAACAAAGCAGCUGGUAACUGCACAUAUAUACACACACACGUGUGUGUGUGUGUGUGUGUGUGUGUAGCUCACUGUUCCCUUUUGCUGUCUGAUUUAUAGGGAAGACAGUUUAAUUCUACCACAACCUUAGUUUGCCUAUGCAUAAACGAGAUGAUACCUUUAAGAGGCAAAAAGAAAGAGUAUGUCACAUGGUGGGCAUUUUAAUCAAAGUCUCUUCCUAGGCUUCUGUGUCUUUUUCACCAUCAUCUGGUAGCAAAACUCGUUCAGCCCUUUCCUCUUGUUUCCUUUCUCUCUCCCCUCUUACUUAGAUCGUUUUUACCAUGUUUCCACGUUCCUCUUUCCUGAGCUGAGACUUUUCCCUCUCUUCAGCACAUAGAACAAACACAUUUGCCUCUAGUGCUCUAGGUAGCUAAUUAACGUAACAUGUUCUAAGGUUGUGAGUGUGUGCGUUUUUAAUUUAUGACUUGCUAUUGUUUUUCCUAGCUCUGACUUGGCAACUAUAUUUAUUUGAAAAAAAAAGUGCUAUGAUUUGCUUUUCUAAUUUUCAGAGAGCUCUUCUAGUUACAAGCGGGUUGGAUUUUCCAGUGGUUGGUUGCCAGCAAGCUGGGACUGCACACAGAGCUCUGUGCUAGGCAAGGAAAUACUUCAUUAGACUUGUAUUCCAUGAAGACACUUUUGCUUCUUAACGCCUGUGAUUUUAAUUAAAACCUGGAAAGUAAAGAAUCUUCUAGUUGUAUUAAUGCUUUCAUUUCCAUUAGGACAGUGUAGUUUAUAAACACUAUCUGGGUUUAUAAAUUAGUCCUCAUGUGAAUAAUAAGUACACAAUGUCACAUAGAAAGCAAAACUCUGCCAGCCCAUCUGUUCUCUCACUCUUUUUUCUUCGAUUGUUGUUUUUGUCUUUGGAGAAUCGUGGAGGAAUGGUCCUUGAUUUCUUUUAUCUCUAUCUAUUUCUGAUAUCCUUUAACCAUGUCUCAUAGGACUGCGUAUGCUAAAACCAGAUUUUAUUCUGGGUUGAUAGAAGGGGGCUUGGUAGUUCAUUUAUAUGUAAAUCUAAAGUAAAAAUAAAUAAAAAUUCAGCCAUUAAAUUCACUUGGGAGACGAAAUUUUCUUUUCCUAUAAAUCUUGAUUUCUUAGAACAUUUAAGCUUUUCAGAAUACAAAAGUGUUAUAGGUACACACACACACACACACACACACAAAUGCAUACACAUGUAUUUAUAUUUCUAAAGUAGAGAGGUUACCAGACACAAUUACUUUAUGUACAGUGCUUAAUUAAUGGGUUAUCAUUUUCCUUCAUAUACAUCAAGAAAUGUAACCAGAUAAACAAUUAUGGAAUUAUAGUUAAGAUUCUGACAAAACACAUAAAAUUAUUAUUAUAUGAAAUUUCUGUUUAUGCAAAAGCAAGUGAUCAAUAUUAUCCAUUUCAGUAAAAGCUUUCAAUUAGAGAAAAUUAUAUAGGGGUCAAAAUGAACCAGGAACUGGACAUAAGUCAGUUUUGUGGACAUAUUGGUCUCUGGAAUCCUUUUUGAAAGCAGGGCAGUAUAAAUUAUAAAUAAAUGAAGACGUAUUUAAUGAAGUAAGUAUUCUAUGGGGAGGAAUAAACUCCUAGAACUACUUUUUAUUGAUUAGAGACUUAGGUGGCUUCCAUUCCAUAAGCACUCAGGAGUCUGACUGCUUCCAGAGCUUGGAAGAAUUGACUUUAAGGGUGUAUAUACUUCCUGCAGGUACUUGCUGAGAACUCAGCCUCGGGUGGGCUAUGAAACUCUUUGGUUGAGAUAACUUCAACUGGUGUUUGUGUUUUGUCUAUUUGAAAUAAUUGAAUGACACAAAGAAGUGACCCUUUUAUGAGGGUAUGACAUCUGAGUACCCACAUUGGUUCACAUGUGGGGCCAGGGCUCUCUCCUCUUAACACUGUGUUGUGUGUCUGUCCAGUUCUUUUUGCAUAGAGAGGUAAGGUGCAGGCUCAUUUUGUCUGUGUCUCAUAAGCAUAGAAGUAUCAUAUCUGGGAGGGUCACUGGCACUCUUUGCAUAUGUCUGGCACAAACUGACAGAUCAGAAGACUGCUAAUAGGCACAUCUGUGGUGAAAUGUGCCAAAAAUGAACAUGUUUCCUCAUAACCAAAUAUACAUUGCACAACAAACAUAUGUAUGGCAGUGUGAUUUAAAAUCCCUACAAAUUACUGUAAAUACAAAAUACCAAAUUAUAAUACUAUAUACCUUUAUUAUCAGAAAACUUAUGUGGAAUUUUUAUUUGCCAAAGAAUAAACAUCUUUGAAGUACUAAAAACAACCCUUCCAAUCUUGAUUCAUCAUUUUGCUACAUUCUCUAUUUGGUUUUCUUCCACCAAUUUUUCUUGGUUUCUUCUGAAUAUGAGCAUUCAUAAAAGCAAUAGUAAUAAUAAUUAUAUAUGGAUAGUCUGUAGCACCUUAAUUUACAAAGAGUUUUUUUCACAUAUAUUAUCUAUUUUUCAGCAAUCUUAUCUGACUAAUGAGUAAGACAGUGUGUAUGUGUGAGACUAUAUAUGAAAGAUGCGACUUUAUUUACCGGGCUUCACGACAAGUUCACCUAAAGUUCCUAAAAAACAAUGGUGUAUGGUUUAAAUAUCUUAUUCUUCUAUUUGUUUCUUUGAAAAACACUCCUGUGUAUCACCUGAUUUUCCAUUUUUGGAACACACUGACCCAGGGAUCAAUAUCUCCUUGUACCUACCCCACUAUCUUCAUGUUUGUGAGUUACAGUUUUCCUCAUUAGAGAGUUCAUUACUAAAGAAUAUAACAGACAUUUGAGUCACUUAAUAGUAAGACUACUGAUACUAUAAUUAUCUAUCUCUUCAAGAAGCUCACAGUCAAUAGUAUCUCUUUUUCUCAGCCUGGUUCUGAACAAGUUGAAAAGAAAAAGAAGGAAAAACAGAAGCCAAAAUGUCAUCUUAGUACUGAUAAUUACUAACUUAUUUGUUGUAUUUUGGGGUCUGUUGGCCACGUGGCUUUGCAAAUACUGAACCCUUGACUUAGGAGACUCACCCCUUCUGGGUAAGGUAGUCUUAUCCCUGAGCAGCCUGCAAAGGUGGGUUCCUGCAGGACUCACAGCAAGGAGACGUUGAGGAAGCGUCUCCUGUGGUCUCAGUUGACAGGCCCCUUCCCAUAAAAAGGAAGAGUGAAUCUGGGCCAACAGCAUUAUUCUUCUCAAAUUUAACCAUCAGGUAUGCUAUACCACCUCCCAGAGGAAGUAAAUGAAGGAAUGAAUAGAAACCAGGAGCGUACUUAGGGAAAAUGUUCCCAUAUGGAAAUGAGUAGCAGAGAAAAGGCAAUAUGUUUACCUAACUGAUCAUGUAAUCACAAAAUGACUUGUAAGAAUUGGGCCAAAAAAGUAUGGCAAAGCCUCAUUUAAAAGAAAUCUUGGUAGAUAUUAAACAAGAUCUGUUUCAUAAGGGUAUGCAGUAUUCGGAUUUGCAGAAGACUGAUUUGAAUCAAAAUGACGAUGGGCCAGAGAUUUAUUUUUUGGAGUGUGUAUAUAAUUUUUGGUCUGUUAUCAAGCCUUACUUUGAUAAAUGGAUGUGAGCUAAUCGCUUCAAUGCAUACUUACCAGUGUCACUUAGACAGUGCUCAGCAGCUGUCUCUCCUAUUUGUUAAACUGAUUAGAACCUAAGACAAGUUCUUUCUGUCAAAGGCCUUGUAGCCCCUGUGUCAUCAAACAGGAUGGAAGACUGAGUGAAGAGAAGAGGGCAGAUGAUUCUUAUCUUCUGUCUUCCGGGCCUCAGCAAAGGGAGGUUAUUGAGAUAUCCUUCCAAGAAGUUUAAAUAGAAGUGUCUGUUGGCAAAAUGAAAACAAAUGGAGAAGUCUGUAAGACCCACACAGGGGUCUUGGUUUCCUUCUGCCUACCGCCCCUGUGGGAGAGGCAAGCUGGCACUUUUAUUCAGAAGAAUGCAUCUCAGUCAGAGGCAGGAGCUGUCAGAAUUAGUAGGGAGGAGGAGGUACUUUUCCCUGAUAGCUUUCUAAGCUCCCUGGAAUUCUCUGACAUUGCUGAAUCUGUUAGAGGCCAAUAUUCAGUCAGCUUGAGGAGAUGGGCUUUUUGACUCCCACAAGAUUCCAAACUCAUCAAUUGGUCUACUCAGUGUAUCUCCUUGGAAACACCACUGGGAACUCCACAGAUGCAACAGUUCCAUCCUUGUUGCUUUCUCUGACUAUUCACAUUCAAGGAGAAUCUGCAGAGAAUGCAUACAACUGCUGGUUAUGUUCAGGCACUGUUCACUGGCACUUUCUUCUACCCUAUAGCUCUCAGUGCUACUCUCAGCUCAGGCCCACCGUGGUUGUCCUCUUUUCCCAUAGCUUUUUGUGGCCCUUCCUUCCCGUAUCUCAGUAAAAGCAAUACUACAGAUUGUCUGAAUAAUUUUUUUUCUUAACAUCUAGGGGUUUGAGAAUGAUGCCUGCCUCACAACUUCCCAUCUAUGCAUACUCUGUGGACAUUGCUCGCUUGUCUCUAGAAAUGGGGUUGGUUUUGUAGUCCAAACUAUUGUUUCAACAAGCUUGUAACUGUACUCCAGAACAAGAUGGAGAUCAAGGAAGCGUAGGUUGUAUCCAGAGUGCAAAAUGGUGCAUCAAAUUGAUGUAUCAAAGUGGCAAAAAUGAAUAAAUUAUUCUGCUCUAUGAAAACUGGUUUAUGAAAAAAGUGAUAGCCUCUGUUUCACCAAAGAACAUAAAAUUAGCCUUUUUUCAAGCUUAAUUAGCAGGGGGAAAACAGAAUAUGUUGACCAUCCACACUGGCCACUACAUACUUGCAUACCAGGACUUUUGUCAGGAAGCCUGAAUGCUUAGGAAGGACAUUAACGGAAGCAAAAGUCUCUUAUUUCCUGCAGCUUUGUCCUCCUUAGUGACUAGUAAAUUGUUGAUUAUUAAAUUGAUUAGAGAGCUUAGGAGAAUAGAACUCUGGUUUUGCAGAUUAGAAUGCUGUGUCAAGGAUGUCAUAUUACCCUGACUUACAUGUGCAAAUGGCACUCUACCUUGUCCCCAAAGGAUAGAAAAAGAUGUGAUACAAAGAGUGGGACAAAGAUUCAGUAUUGCUUUCUCACGACACCUUUGGAAGCUAAGAAAAGUUUUCAAGCAUAAGUGCCUAAAACUGGUAGAAACCUAAGGGGGAAAAAACUGUUAUGGAUACUCUGUGUUUUUGCCCAUCACUGAAGACAAAACAAAACAAAAAAAAAUUAGGUAUAAAGCCCUUCCACAGAUACUACGUCAUUAGAUAUUCACACAACCUUGUGAAAUAACUGUUUCAUUUUUAAUUUAAUUCCUCUCUGUUCCUUUCCAUGUUUGUAAAGCGGAGAUCAUAAUAGGAAUUUUAUAGGCUUGUUAUGAAAAGGAAAUGAGAUUAUAUCAGUCCUUUACUGUGUGUUUCAGUUUGGGGCACUCAAGAAGCAGACACUGAGAUGGAAUGAACUGUUCAAGAGAUUUAUUGGGAAAAAUACAUGUGAAGAAUAGAGGAGGAGACAGCAGAGAAGGUGAAAGGAGGCUUCAGAUUGCAAUGUAGGUCUGACACGUGUGAGCAAAGGACCACACAGAUAAAGGAUUGGUUUGGAAAAGCUUCAGAGUACAAUUCUGAAAAAGACUCAAUCCAAAUAAAAAGUUACCUGCUAGUGGUGUUCUGCAAUGGGAAGAAAUAGCUCAAUUCUAAUAUCCCUAGUGAGUCAUCAUCUGAGAACAGCCUGGAGGAAGCAUGGCCCUAGGACAAGCACCCAUGGAUCCCAAAGGGUAGCAGCUGGAGGCUCUCAUUUCUUGAAGGGAGACCAUUGUGGAGUGGUGCAUGUCCAUGACCCUCACAGCACAGGUGCCUGGAAUGUAGUAAGCAUUUGAAAUAACUUAACUAUUAUUAUUUCCAUUAUAAAAAUAAAGAAGCUGUAUGUCCAAUGGCAAUGUGUGAUUUGGCUAGGAUUCUUUGUAACAGACCCAAGACUUAAGCCUACAUUUCUGCCUCUGGAUCUUAUGCUCUGUCAAGCACAUCACAUACUGCUCUUUAACAGCAUGUACUUAAUACAUUUCCUUCUGUGAUGCUAAUUCCACCGGGGACAAUAAAACCUUCCCCUAAGUCCUUCAGGUUGUGUAGCCUUGCUGCCUCUGAGAGAGGCUUGGUUCGUUCCUGUGGCUUCUUAGGCACAGCAUCUUGCCCUUAGCUCUCAGUAGUCCAAUUCCUGGGAUUUGAGCCAAAGCAAACUCCAAGGUUGAACCUCAGCUCCCAAAAAGGCCACGUCACUCUUGGCUUCAGCAUUUAGAAGACAGCAUGGAAAGCUUCUUUUUGUCUGCAUGGAAAGGCUGUGGGUCUUCUCUGAUGCCAUGAUACAUUAGAAUAUCACUGCAUGUCAUUUACACUGAAAUCUCAUUAUCGUGUGCCAAAUUCUUUUAUGGCCUCUAAUCUGUUUUUCGGUGAACAGAUUUUAAUUUUUCCUUUUUACCUAAAGAAUAUAUGUAUAUCUACAUAUACAUAGCCUUUAAAAUGUGUGUGCUAGCAAGUUAUUUUAAAUUCUGAGAACAGGUUUAUUAUACACAUUUUUUUUCAUUUUUCAGAGUUAAGAAUGUGACACAGCCACGUUCUAGCCAGUUUACAACUUAGAUUACAGCAGGCUGGUUUCUAAUUGUCCUAACAGAUUUCUAGCUGCGUUAUUAGUUCUUAGGCCAAGAACACAAAGUAAGUACAAUUUCUGGGUAUUGUCAUGUUUAAAUAAUUAUAAUUUCCUUCUUUUAAAAAUAGGGUCAAAUAUCCCUAAAUUGAGGUGUGAUAAGAUGAAUAUGCCCAUGUUUACACACAGCAGCAUACACAGGUACACUGGCAUUAUUGACUCUGCAAUACGAACAUGCAGACAAAUAUGAAGAAGUCUAGAGAAAAUAUAAUCAGGUCUUUUGGUGGAAAAUUGCAGUACCCUCGUGUCAGAAUGAAACUUCUCAGGAUUACAGUGGUAAAGACUGAAAGACAUAGGAUUUUCCCCUCAUUUUCAUAGAUAGUCUAACAUAAAAGCUUGAAUCUUAUUACUAUAAUGUUCUUAAUGACCUCCAAAGCUAUUUAGAAACGUUUGGUCAUCUCUAAGAUCACUGGCUAAUAGGCGAGGCGUUUUCAAUUGAACCUCUUAAAUCUACCCUUGGAACAGGCUUUCUGAAAGUAGAAAAUAGAUUUGUUUGUUUAUUUGUUCCCUGACUUUCCAAAAAAAGGAUUUGAAGUAGUCAGGAGAAAGAAGUCACAUUAUUAGCCGGGCAAGAUGUGCCCAACCAACAAAUCGCUAAAGAAGGGUUGAAGUGAUGCUGCACGGCCCCUAAAAGAAAGCGCCAAAGAACAGGCCAGGCCACCUGAGAAUUAGAUGGCUACCUAAUGGUCAAAUAUGUAUUUCAGAGUCUUUCCUCAGGCUUACCCAAGAAAGCCUUAGAACUGAGUUGGGGGUAGUAUUCCAGUGGCAACAGUUAUCAAUCACAAUACAACAAAAUAUGAAGUGGCCAACUUUAAACAGCACUAUUCAGUGUUAAUUAAAUAGGGAAGGUGGUUUCUUAGAGCUCACUUUUAGGGAUUUAACCUCUAUAAUUUAUUUCUGUGAUUUGUGCUUACUAAAGGAUUGUUUUUAAUUAUUCCAUUGUCUAAUCCCCUAAAAUAGAUUUCUCCUCUUCUCCUCCCAUGUUCCUAUAUUUAGUCAUCAUUCUUAAAAAUUACCAGUACUUUAUUUUCACUGAAGAUCUUAAAAGGUAUGAGAAUGGAAUGCAAGAUACCUCAACUACAGAUCACGUGACAGUUUAAAUUACCCCAUGAUUAUCUGAAAUGGUUUUAGAGGCACCUUUAAUUUUCAGCUUACUUUAUAUGCCAAAGAAGAUAACAUACGUUUACUUAGUCAUUUGAGAUUUUCAACCCAUAUAACAAAAUAGCAAAUAAGACAUCUGCAAAGGUGGAUUUACAAAAGGUAGAUAUUAUAUUUCCCAUUUCCAACAGGAGGAAAUCAAAGCUCAGAGAGGUUAAGUCACUCUUUCAUGUUUAGCAGAUGGAACUAGAUCUUAACUCUAACAUGUAUUUGGUGUCUCUAUUCACUAUAAUACUAAAGUAUUUUUUCUCCGUAAUGCUAUCUUUGUUCCCACUGUAAUUCAUUCUACCUGCAGUAGCCAGAAAGAUACUUUCCAAAAGUAAACCAGGUAAAGUAAUUCUCAUGCUCAAAAAUAUUCUGAAAGAUUCCUGUUGCAUGCAGAAUACUAUAAAACCCCUUGUCAUGACCUCACCGUGACUGUCUAUGUGACCUCACCUUGUCCUGCCCUCCUCCAAUCUUACAAACUCAAGCCACACUGACCCUUUUAUUCUUACCUAUAUAGAUUCUCUUAUUUGCUGUUUCUUCUGCCUGAAACUGUCUGCUGUGAGAUUUGUACAUUGCUUGCUCCUUCUUGUAAUGGAGGUCUCAGUUCAAAUGUCAUACGUUUAUAGGGGUACAUUUGUCAAAUCAAAUUUCCUUAUUAUAUACUGUAUCAGACAUUAUUUUCAUUUAUUUGCUUACAUGUCCAUUGUAUACCUGUUCUCAACAAUUACACCUUCAAAUAUAAACCACACAAAAAUUCUUUGUCUUUUGUUUUCUGUUGUGUCCCUAGCAUCUAGGUCAGCAUCUGAGAGUCUUCUACAUUGUACUUAGUUUUGAAAGUGAACUUAAAAUCACAAUCUCUCUGCGCAUGUUCACAAAAUCUUCAGACUUGAGUGGGAAAGUAAAUAUUAAUUUUUGAAAUAAAGCAUUAAUGAUGCAAUGCUAAAUGAUAGUGUAUAAAAUUAUACAGUAUAAUUAGAAGUAUAUAUGCAAAAACUGCAAUGAAAUAGACCAAAUACUAGCAUUAAUAACACAAUUAUUUUAUGUAGUGUGACAUUUUCUCAGUUGUCUACAGUGUACCUAUUUCACUUUAAUAAUCGGAAUAAAAUUACUUUUAAAGCACAAAAUAAAACUUAAAAGGAGAAAACGAUUUCUCAGUACCGAAAGGAUUGUUUUCUAAAUUUAUUUUGCUUUGCAAUGGGUGCUAAUAUCAAUGUUCACCUUCUCUACAGGCCAUAUUGCCUCAAUUCUUCCAUAGUGUCUCAAGUGAUGGGUUUGAAGUUUUCUCUUUAGAAUGUAAUUCAGUUUAUUUAUAUCUCUGCAACACUCAGUACUGUGCAUAAUUCUCUAGAAAUUCUAUAAAUGAUGCAGAGUAAAGUAGAAUUAUGUUCUCCCACUUUCUGGAUAAUUCCUAGAUGUUUAUUGCUGCUUAAGUUUGUAUCAGAUUUUUUGGCAACUCAUAUUAUCAAAUUAGGAGUCAAGUUCACAGGUUUCCCCCUUAGGCACAGCUAUUAUUCUUUUUUUUUUUUUUUUUUUUUUUUUGUGACGGAGUUUCACUCUUGUUACCCAGGCUGGAGUGCAAUGGCGCCAUCUCAGCUCACCACAACCUCCGCCUCCUGGGAUCAGGCAAUUCUCCUGCCUCAGCCUCCCGAGUAGCUGGGAUUACAGGCACGCGCCACCAUGCGCAGCUAAUUUUCUGUAUUUUUAGUAGAGACAGGGUUUCACCAUGUUGACCAGGAUGGUCUCGAUCUCUUGACCUCGUGAUCCAGCCGCCUCGGCCUCCCAAAGUGCUAGGAUUACAGGCUUGAGCCACUGCGCCCGGCCCACAGCUAUUAUUCUUGUAUGCUCUCACUUCAUAGUUGUACGUGUAAUUUUGUUUUUAUUUGCCAACAAAGCCUAACGUCAUAUCUAAAUAUAUUUUAUUGAUUUAGAUUUGUCUCAGUUUUCUAACAUUUUAAGUUAUUUUAAACCCUAUUCAAUUACUCAGCCAAUUGAUGAUUCCUGCUCCCAUAUUUGUGUUAUGUACAAAUAUGACAUUCACUUAGUUGAAUUGUUUCUUUAUUCAUUUAUUUUUGAGAAAGGGCCUUACACUGUUGCCCAGGCUAGAGUAGAGUGACACAAUCAUGGAUCACUGCAGCCUUGCAUUCCUGGACUCAAACAAUCCUCCUUACUCAGCCUCCCAAAGCACUUGGAUUACAGGCAUGAGCCACUGCACCUGGCCUGAAUUUAUUGUAAAAUAUUGAACAGGUUAAGGUGAAGAACAUAACUCAAUUCAAAGCUUCUAGAUCAUGCUUAGUUAAUACUGAUUUGCCUAUCGUUUGUAUGCUAUGGUUGCCAUUGAUCAAUCAGUUACAAAUACAGCUACUAUUACAAUCCAGUCCACAUAUCUUGAUUUUUAACAAGAAAGUGGUGAUGAGGAUAAUAGGAAGUGCCUUGCUAAAAUCUAGAUUAAAUAAAUACCUGCUAUAUUUCUCACUAAUUAAAAAUAUUAAUAAUUAUAUGGAG